This is a small nuclear RNA of Otolemur garnettii (small-eared galago), 107 nucleotides long. Lineage: Eukaryota; Metazoa; Chordata; Mammalia; Primates; Galagidae. The record is from Ensembl.
GUGCUCACUUCAGCAGCACAUACACUAAAAUUGGAACAAUACAGAGAAGAUUAGCACGGCUCCUGCAGAAGGAUGACACGCAAAUUCAUGAAGCAUUCCAUAUUUUU